CGAGUGAGCGGCAAAGCUCAAAUUUGAAAUCUAGGCACCUUUCAGAGUCCGAGUUGUAAUUUGAAGAAGGUAUCUUUGGGUCUGGCUCUUGUCUAUGUUUCUUGGAACAGAACGUCACAGAGGGUGAGAAUCCCGUGCGAUGAGAUGAUCCAGGCCUAUGUAAAGUUCCUUCGAAGAGUCGAGUUGUUUGGGAAUGCAGCUCUAAGUGGGUGGUAAAUUCCAUCUAAAGCUAAAUAUUGGCGAGAGACCGAUAGCGAACAAGUACAGUGAUGGAAAGAUGAAAAGAACUUUGAAAAGAGAGUGAAAAAGUACGUGAAAUUGUUGAAAGGGAAGGGCUUGAGAUCAGACUUGGUAUUUUGUAUGUUACUUCUUCGGGGGUGGCCUCUACAGUUUAUCGGGCCAGCAUCAGUUUGGGCGGUAGGAGAAUUGCGUUGGAAUGUGGCACGGCUUCGGUUGUGUGUUAUAGCCUUCGUCGAUACUGCCA
This 484-nucleotide ribosomal RNA is filed under the name Candida tropicalis. RNAcentral's name for it is "partial 26S ribosomal RNA". It matches the Rfam family "Eukaryotic large subunit ribosomal RNA", at positions 90 to 580 of the family's 3401-position model. Lineage: Eukaryota; Fungi; Ascomycota; Pichiomycetes; Serinales; Debaryomycetaceae. The record is from RNAcentral.